Molecule: ribosomal RNA, 510 nt
Filed under: Microbacteriaceae bacterium
Lineage: Bacteria; Bacillati; Actinomycetota; Actinomycetes; Micrococcales; Microbacteriaceae
Description: bacterial SSU rRNA
Rfam family: Bacterial small subunit ribosomal RNA
Source: RNAcentral
CUCCAGCUUGCUGGGGGGAUUAGUGGCGAACGGGUGAGUAACACGUGAGUAACCUGCCCCUGACUCUGGGAUAAGCGCUGGAAACGGCGUCUAAUACCGGAUAUGACAAUCGACGGCAUCGUCUGGUUGUGGAAAGAAUUUCGGUUGGGGAUGGACUCGCGGCCUAUCAGGUUGUUGGUGAGGUAAUGGCUCACCAAGCCUACGACGGGUAGCCGGCCUGAGAGGGUGACCGGCCACACUGGGACUGAGACACGGCCCAGACUCCUACGGGAGGCAGCAGUGGGGAAUAUUGCACAAUGGGCGCAAGCCUGAUGCAGCAACGCCGCGUGAGGGACGACGGCCUUCGGGUUGUAAACCUCUUUUAGUAGGGAAGAAGCGAAAGUGACGGUACCUGCAGAAAAAGCACCGGCUAACUACGUGCCAGCAGCCGCGGUAAUACGUAGGGUGCAAGCGUUGUCCGGAAUUAUUGGGCGUAAAGAGCUCGUAUGCGGUUUGUCGCGUCUGCUGUGA